This 5075-nucleotide long non-coding RNA is filed under the name Nicotiana tabacum (common tobacco). RNAcentral describes it as "long non-coding RNA (NTAB_LNC007925)". Lineage: Eukaryota; Viridiplantae; Streptophyta; Magnoliopsida; Solanales; Solanaceae. The record is from RNAcentral.
UCCAAAUGAUAUUUCCCGUGAAAUGCCCAGGAUGAUAUUCCUGCAAAACUCAGAGGAGAAAAUGUAGAGUCCCUCUUAGGUAAGGUUAUAAAAUUAAGAUAAUACAGAAUAAAGUCAUGCAGCCAGUGGUGUAUCCGGUUGUGAUCGAAAAUGCGAUGUCGGCAUUCCAUGAUGGUUCCGGAGAUUGUGUUGUCCCUUCUACGUCCAAAGAAAAAAUUUUAGUUCGAGGGAGGGAAUUGAUUCGUGUUGACUUGAGGCUUCGUUUAUUCUUCUUUGUUUGUCCGAGUCAUACGAGCAUGACACUUCUCGAAGGCUAACUAACAACUUGCCCCUAUAACAAAAUGUGUUGACUUGUAUCGAAUCACUGAAUUUGGAAAGUGGGAGUGAACAUUAUGACUCCAUUGCCAGAUAUUUGAAGAAAGGACUUGCAUCCCAUAUAUUGGGAUUUAAGUCAAGUGAGGGUCAGGGUAAAGUUGGCAUGGUGUUUUGAUGUUUGGAUUUUUGGUGAAAUUUGGUUGACGCUCUUGGAGGUUUUUGGCUUGAGAGUAUCAUCGCACCAUUCCAAAAAAUUGCCCUAGUUCCGUACUGAGGAAAUUGUUUUGAAACAGUGGGGAGACGGAACCUUUAUGUAGGGUUGCCUGUGUUUCUUGCCAAAGCAAGAAUCAGGUCAAAAUGUAGUUCGGGCCAACUAGCAAAAUUAUAUGGAAUCUGUAUGGUUGUCAUGAGUAAGUGAUUGUUUCUUGAGAAGAAGUGUGAUUAUGAAUGAAAAUUCCUGGGUGGGUGGGUGGAGACUGGUAGAUCUUGAAUAAGAGAUAGAUGGUAGCAUAGUGCAUGGAUCUGUCUCAAAUGACGGAAGUCAUUGUAAGUGUAAGGUAUGAUUGAGAAGAAUAUGUCAAAUCAGUGAAAUAUGCACCAAGUUGGAUUGACAUAUCUUUGAAAAGAUGGUAGAGUCCAAAUGAUAGUAUGAUCAUGGGGAUGGUCAUGAAGUCUGCAUGGGCAUAUGUAUUUGAAAGGUUAGGGUUCAACACAAGUCAACUAGAGUUUAGUCAGACAAAGAGAAUCUAGUUGUAUAUAAUAAGUAGAAGACAUCUGUAGUAGAUGAAGGAUGCAUAAUAGAUAAAGAAUGUACAUCAGACAAAGAAUAUAUAGCAAGCAAAGGAUAUGUAACAAUUAAUUUAGCUAAAGCAAGUUGCAAGAUCAUAUGUACAGUGACCUAGGAAUUCUAAGAGUAGAUUUACCUAGAUUCAAGGAUAAGUUAAGGACAACUACGAGAUGGUACGUAGUUAACCUCGUAUGCCAAUCUCUGAAGCUAGAGAGUUUUGAAAGAAGGUUCGGAGGGGUGAAAAGACAACCCUCGCGUGACUUGUGUGUGAUUGUGCACGACCAAGAGUCGAUAGAAAAGUGAUGACAACUUGAUAAGGCAGCACCAAAAGCAUGUGUGAAAGAAUACACAACACAUUCAUAUAUAACAGAAUAUACAACAUAGACAUGUGGGAAGCAUAUACAACAUGAGCAUGACAGAGAAUACGCCGCUUGAAGCGGAUAACAAAGAAUAUACUGCUUGAAAUGCACAACAAGAAUAUACUGCUUGAAACGCAUGAUAAAGAAUAUACUACUUGAAGCAUGCGACGAAAAAUAUACCACUUGAAGCAAAGAAUAUACAACAUAAAGCAAGGAAUAUACAGCUUGAAGCAAAGAGUAUACAGUUUGAAGCAAAGAGUAUACAACUUGAAGCAGAGAAUAUAUGACUUGAAGCAUGCGACAGAAAGAAUAAAAGUUGGAGUAUUGGAGAAUUUGUAAUCCCUCAAGUAAUUGAUCAAGUCCGCUGUGGUUAGAACCUGAAGUAUCCCCAGCAGAAUCGUCAUGUUGUUGCACCCUAUUUUGCACAAAACAACAAACUACAGCUUAUAGUGCUCUACAAGGUUAAUUAAGGUUUAGAGUCACCACCUAGUAUUUAAGGUAUACUAGAACACAUAUACUACACUAAAUAAUGUACACUAAAUUAUGGUCUGUGAAACUGUUGAAAUUUUGAGUAAGGGUUCAAGUUAUCUCGAGAGAAAGGUGUUAGGCAUCGCUCAAGAUCUACAAAAAAGUGGUUCAUGUUGACUCGAUCAAAUAAGGGAGGGAAGGUUUUAAGAAAAUUAGCAAAUACUCACAACUAUUAUAAAGAAUAAAAGAAUGAUUAACGUGUACUAGAAUGACCAGUGAUGAUAUUAAUAUGUAAUGAAUUAUAUGCAGAUGAAGUAUGCAAGUAUUUUUUUGGUGUUUUCGAAAUGAAAUGAUUAAGAUAUAUUGAUUCGUAUGAAAUAUAUGUAAAGUGGACAAGGGAAUCGUAUUCCAAAAGAUAAGCCGAGUAUAAAAUGAGUUCUACAUAAAGAAUAGUAAAAUAUUUGACAAAAUAUAUGUACAACAAAGUGUAGCAUGUGAAAGAAUUAAAAAGAUAUUAAAGAAUGGUAUUUUAGUGUGAAUUGAAUAAUAUAAAAAAGAUCGUACCUAAAGAAUGCAUGUUAACUCAAAGUGUUUGAAUAAAAUUUUGAACUUACAAGAAUAAACUUGAAGAGAAAAGACUCAUAAUUAAAGUUUAAAAGUUUAGAUGGAUAACUACAACAAGAAAAACUUAUACUAAAGGAUUGCAAAAAAAAAGGGGGAUGGAAUAUUUAUUUGCACAUGAAUAGAUAUUUAACAAGUAAUUUGACCAAAGAGUGUUGAAAGAAUUAUCUCAAUGCAUAAUGAGUAAAGUGAAAGGAUUAUUUUGAAGAGUAAAAAAUGAAUAUGGUAUAAGAAAAAUGUGUCAAAACGUUUACGACAUAGAAAACUAUUGUAUCAAUAUGAAAAAAUAUUUGCACUAAAAAAGUGAGUCAUCAUUCAAUAAGUAACUAAAGACCAUCUUUAGAGUCAUGGUCUUGAAACACAAAUUGUAUGAGCCAAACCCAAACGACUAAAGAUCUAAAUUUGUCAAAGAAUAGUACGAUAGUCCGACUAUAAUUUCCUACUUAAGUUGUGUCAAUUAAAAAUAAUUUACAUAUAAAGUGAUUCAAAAAGGCGCUCAUACAAUUGUAAGACAAAGAUAAUUAUUUAUUUUAUUUUUUGAAAGAUGACAUGUUUUUAUUUUCAUUAUAUCUAAUUUAACUAAUUGGAUGUAUAUCAAUCACAAAUCACAUUAUGAACGUAUUCAACAACCUAGCAUGCAUGUACAAAUUUUAUGAACUCGCGUAACGUUACAAUAUUAGGAAUUAAACCAAUUUUUAACUAGAUUCAACUCCCCAAGUGCUUAGCAAAUAGAUAAUAUUAAAGCAAGCAAGCAAACACAUCUAUCUACUACUUUACUAUACUUUACGUUUUGAGUAUAUCAAAGAACGGAAAGUACGAAGCGGGGAGCUUGACGGGAAUUUGUCUUUUAAUCUUCGAGUAUCGUCUUUCGAAAGUAAAUCCGUGUGAUAGUAGCUCGCAAGACAAGAAAAGUGAAAUUAUUAGUAAAAUAUAAAGUAAACAAUAAGCUAAAAAAAAUUUGAACAUGUUUUUUGAAAGAUUGUUUUUGAAAAUGUUUUUGAGAAAUUAUUUUUUAGAAAUAGUUUUAAAAUAAUUUUGGGAAAUUGUUCUUGGAUAAUAGUCUAAACAUGAGAACAAAGAACUACCUUGAUCUCUACGGUAGCUAAUCGUGUCACCUUCCAAAGGACUAUUGAUUCGUCUCGUUCUCAUUUUUUUCCUUUCCGAUAUUUAUCGUAAUCGCCUCAUUAUUUCGGACCCAAUCUAGAGGGAUACGAGCAUUGUGGCCUCAAAAUAUUAUUCUCAUCGGCCUAAGUCCAACAAUGUACUAUUCCAUUUGUUCACUGCCAACAAUGUCCAACCGUGUAAAAUCGUCCAAACUAACUAAAUACAAUACAGAAGAGGAUUAGAGUAUAGCUGGAAAAUGUUGUCAAGAUACACAGAAAACCAGUCAAUAUUUCAAAGUCGGCGUUGCAACAGCAGUGACGAGAAUUUCACCACUUAAUUACAAUAUAGUCAAUUGAUGAAACCUUGAUAAAAAACAAACUUAUCACAAACCCAAAAGCAGACGAGCGGCAACAGUAACAAAGUACAAUCGCCGGAGCAACAAGAAUAAUUACCGGAACGGUGAACAAACAGAGACAAGCUUCAAAUCUCAGUAUAAAUUUUCUUCGUUAUUAAUGGGUUCAUUAACCUGUAGAGAAUGAGAAGACAGUAGCAAGCAAGGGCAAACAUAAGAUAUGAGGGGUCGCCGGAAAACAUGGAGGUCGCCGGAAACGACCAAAUCUGACCAGCGUCAAAACGAACAAGAUGAAAACGCGAGGCCAAUGAUGUUGCUUCAACGGUAUAACACCAGAAAAACGAUCAACAGUACUCAAAAGCUCGCCGGAGUAAAUCUCCGGUCAGAUUUCGGCGUGCUCGUUUUCAGAUCUUCACUAUUUUUCUUCAUUUUUGGGCUUAAAUCGAGCAGCCAUGGCCGGAUCUAAACGACGAAGCAUAGACAUUCAUUAGAACACGAUUUUCGGCCAGAUAAAGUGUAACAUCAGUGACGGAUCUGAGAGGUCAGAGGGGUGGUCGUCAUUGAUGCGCCUACCAUCGGGUAGUCAAGUCCGGCGGCGGCAACUGGUCGGAGAUGGGGAGGGCGACAGAAAUGGAGGGAAAGAGAGAGGAGUCGGCGGCUGUUGCUCUCAAGAAUUGAGAGAGAUGAGAGAGCCCUUAGGGGGCUGGCGGCAGAUCUCUUAGAAAUGAGAGAGAUGAGUUCUCUAGGGUUUUUGAAACCCUUGUAAAAAGUAAAAAUCUGAUGGGGUGUAAUUAAAAGCUAAAAAUAUGUAUAGCUUGUUCAAGCCGGAAAAAUAUCUUAUUUUAAAAAAUAUUUUUUUUAAAAGUACUUUUGAAAAAAUACUUUUGGAUAUAAGUAAUUUGUGUUUGGCUAAUCACUUUGAAAAGCACUAUUGAGCAAUAAUUUGUGUUUGGCCAAAUUUUUCAAAAAGUGUUUUUUAGUAUCAAAUUACGAAUAAAGAUAUGAAUAGAUUUACUUAAUAGUUAAUAUUAUAAGUAAAUAAAUAAUCUCAAAAUUUUUGUUAUUACGG